This 62-nucleotide transfer RNA is filed under the name Alasmidonta varicosa. RNAcentral's name for it is "tRNA-Tyr". Lineage: Eukaryota; Metazoa; Mollusca; Bivalvia; Unionida; Unionidae. The record is from RNAcentral.
AGUAAAGUGGCCGAGAAUAGGCAAAAGAUUGUAGCUCUUUUCACGGGACAUCCCCUUUACAA